Molecule: ribosomal RNA, 253 nt
Filed under: uncultured bacterium
Lineage: Bacteria
Description: partial 16S ribosomal RNA
Rfam family: Bacterial small subunit ribosomal RNA
Source: RNAcentral
UACGUCGGGUGCGAGCGUUAAUCGGAAUUACUGGGCGUAAAGCGUGCGCAGGCGGUUUUGUAAGCCAGAUGUGAAAUCCCCGGGCUCAACCUGGGAAUGGCAUUUGGGACUGCAAGGCUGGAGUGUGGCAGAGGAGACUGGAAUUCCUGGUGUAGCAGUGAAAUGCGUAGAUAUCAGGAGGAAUACCGAUGGCGAAGGCAGGUCUCUGGGCUGACACUGACGCUCAUGCACGAAAGCGUGGGGAGCAAACAGG